Molecule: ribosomal RNA, 245 nt
Filed under: uncultured Lachnospiraceae bacterium
Lineage: Bacteria; Bacillati; Bacillota; Clostridia; Lachnospirales; Lachnospiraceae
Description: partial 16S ribosomal RNA
Rfam family: Bacterial small subunit ribosomal RNA
Source: RNAcentral
UACGUAGGGGGCAAGCGUUAUCCGGAUUUACUGGGUGUAAAGGGAGCGCAGACGGACUUUUAAGUCUGAUGUGAAAUGUAUGGGCUCAACCCAUAACCUGCAUUGGAAACUGGAGGUCUGGAGUGCAGGAGAGGUAAGCGGAAUUCCUAGUGUAGCGGUGAAAUGCGUAGAUAUUAGGAGGAACACCGGCGGCGAAGGCGGCUUACUGGACUGUAACUGACGUUGAGGCUCGAAAGCGUGGGGAG